Chrysemys picta bellii (western painted turtle) is the source of this 2191-nucleotide long non-coding RNA. RefSeq lists it as uncharacterized. Lineage: Eukaryota; Metazoa; Chordata; Testudines; Emydidae. The record is from RefSeq and is a predicted model, not a curated record.
UCAUGGCACGAAUGCCAUGGAGUAAAGUAGCUGCAGCCAGAAAGGAGGUGAAAUGGGGAAAAGGGUAGUUUAAAAAAAUUAAAUCCUAACAAACCUAUAGUAAAUAUGCCUUUGUUUACACAAACAUCUCAAGAAAUGCAUUGAAAACUGCAGACAUUUGGAAUCAUCCUACUGAGAUUUCCAAACCCAACUCUGAUGUGACGUUUCAGAACAUAAUAUGCUGGUUAUUUCACAACAGCUACAGAACCCGUGGAGGCCAGCAUAUAUUGGGGGCAGGAUUUCUGUAAUGGUUAUGACCACAUGCUGGACUGAAGCUACUGGAGUCAAUGGGAGAUUUGACCAAGGAAGGACAACAGGACUAGUCCGUUAUCUGGUGUGUGCAUACAUACAUAGUCAUCCUUAUCACUGAUACAUUAACUGCACCAUUGUGCAUAUGUCAAAUUUAUUUUACAAAUACUUUUUACUACAUUUCUUUCAUUUAUCAAUUUAUUUUUCACACAAAGAUUGCUUUGCACACUAGCUUCAAUAAGUACGAGGCACCUGAAAAGUUCCAGCUUCUAAACUUCAGCCAUUGUUGAGUGGUCCAUGUACAAAAAAUAAAAUAAAAAUAAUCUUAAUUUUUUAAAAAAGGGAAAAAACGUAUUUUGCCACCAUUACAUGACUCAAAAAUAAGUGAACUUUUUUUUAAAUCACCCCUAGAGAUUGCAGAACAAGUAUGAAAACUUUACGUUCUAUAGUGAAAGGGACACCCUCCGCUUGAAAGAAAAAUAAGUCAAAUCACAUUUCCAUCUGAACAUUUUGCACCAACAAAUGUCACAAGUAACCCCAAAGAUUACUAGAACACAGAGAUAUGCAAAUACUUCCUUUUUAUCUUUUGUUUGCUUACUUUGCUCAUUGGCAGCACUUUGUGUUCCAGUCAGAUUCAUGACAGGGGGGUUGGAUGGGGAGGAGUACUAUCUAAUUGUAGCAACAGAGCUGAAACUAAGGUGACCACCUUUGUUGGAUGGAAAUAAGGGGGGGAAAAAACGUGAAAAGUAAGGGACGCCGCUUUAUUUUAAGGGGCAUUUUAGGGAAACACCAUUUCUCUUAGCAUAGCAUGUAUUUUUCUCUCAAGUGUACAUUUGUACUGCUUCAAGUAUACAAUGCAAUCAUCAUAAACUUCAAUUUAAUGUUUAAAGUUGUCAAGGGCCGUCUCUUAAAAUAAGGGAUGGGUGGUCACCUUGCAGAAAAAGACACAGAAAAAGACACGGUAGCAAAGCAACAGGCAGGCGUGUGCAGGAAGAAGAAGGGGGAAGAGAUGAAAGGCCUUCAGCAUGUUUGUGUAUUGUGGCUCUUACGCCUACCCAAAAACAUUUCUAAACUAUAAAACGGGAAGAAGAAAAAUCCUUAUUGUGACAGAUAAUUGCAAUCCCCUGCAAUAUCUUUGGGGACCAUACUGUAUUAAGUUUAUGGAUCACUGUGGGCUACGGAUUGUAUGCAACUCCAGCGGGGAGGGCUACCACAACGCCUCUAGGAACCAAAACCAGCGUGUGUGUGCAUGGGAGGGGAGGGGAUGAUUAAGGUGAAUCGCUUAGACUGUAAACCCCUCCGUAUGGGAAAGGAAGCUUACAUACACUGGUUCAAACUAGGUUUUCAGAGACCAACACAUACAGAAAGGGCUUUUGGGAUACAAAGGGUACAUUUGCACUGACACAAGACCUUCUUUCUGAUCCAGCAAACGGACAGGACCUUGGAUCCGAGGGGAAGCUCAACCUUGCAAAAGGGUUGGAAAGACUGACACCUACCAGUGCCCUUGUUGGAGUUGGGGGUGACCUCAGAUAAGCAUCUGUGUAGUAGGUUCUUUUUAUUAGCUGUAUGUGUUUUCUCUGUAAUACUUUUACCUCCGGAAUAAAGGUGCUUGCUUAGAAAGAGAGGUGUGGUGACUUACAACUGCUGUCAAGACACCGGUCAUAGCCCCCAGAGUGGAAGCAAAGCCCAGGUGCUGGCUGUUAGGCAGACUGGCUUGCUGGGGAUAUCACAGUGUAAGGCAGAUAGCUGUGCAGCCUUAAAAGCCCUGGUCAGAAGGGAGUGGGACAAGGGUCCCUGCCCAGAAACAGCUGGAGACUGGGAACUCCUGGAGUGGACCACAGAGGGGAAGAUACAGGUGCACCACCCUGAAACUGACACACGCGAUAAUUUUUCUUCUUUUAAA